CGAACUAGACAUAGCCUAAAGAAAUUAAAUUAUGUUUAGCACUAACAAAAAGAAAAUAUGUUACACAGUUGGUGGAGUUGUAUUGUUAAAUUUUACUUUUUAAAGGCAGGUUGGCAUUCAACUGAAAGGGCAAAGCAAAAGAAAUGGCCGACGGAGCCUCGAUUGUUUCAUGGGCCCGCUAAAACAGAGGCUCGUCAAUGUGCGGCAGUCCGUCCCGUCCAGGCCAAUGGGCCUGAUCUCAUUCCAGUAAAAGUAAGACGACGGCGUUUCAGCUAAUUUAGCUCAGUUUGCUAGUCCCAUAAAACGCUGCGUUUUCUGAGUGUUCCCGCCUUGGUCAAUCAUAGACCCCAUCUUUUUCAAGUGUUUAACUGCUUGUGGAAAGAACAUGCAGAAAGAAUAUCCAAAAAUAACUGCUUGAGGAAAGAACAUGCAGAAAGAAUAUCCAAAAAAGUAUUCGAAUCCGAGAGGGGAGAGAGAGAGAGAGCAACCUCUCGAGUCUCGUCAGAAGGUUUUAGUUACAUAUUUUUCAGAUUUGGGUAUUGUUUGACUUUUCCGGUCUGGCUGACUCGCCAUUUGAUUUUACCAAGCUAGGUUGUAUCAUGGUUACCACUUGCCAGAAGGUUGUUAGAUGAAAUGCCUGAAAUCGAGGAGUCUUCAAAGAGGCCAAACGGGGAAACAGGGAAGAACAAGGAAUCAGCUCUCCUCCAUAUGGUUUGGGCGGUAAAAGAUUCGAGAGGAAUAGAGAAUUAUUGUGGACAGGUGGCAGUUUUCUAACUUACUUCAUGUGUUCGGAAGACAACGGUGAAAGCAUUAACCUCCAUCCAUCGCAAAAGCAACUCUUCACUUCUUCGAUACUUAAUAACAGUGUAGAUGCAUGCAUUACCUGCAGCCAAAAUGCUGAAACAGGGGUAUUGUGAGCCUGUAGUUUCUCCCAAACUUGGCGUACACUAUCUGUGCCACCCUGCAUUCCAACAACAGCACCGGAUAUAAUCCACUCAGGAAGCUCAGGAAGUCUCCCAAUUGUUUCUGUGAAGCGUUCAAUGAGCUCUGAAGGUGAGUUUCCAUGCAAUAUCCUACCUUGAACUGAAUCUCCAUGUAUCUGCAAGAUCACCCAGUGCACAGAAAGUGAGAGACUGCAAAUCCGGAAUCUAAAUGAGCCCCCAAUUGUACUACAAUCAAUGCGGUGGGUUUCCUGAAACAUAAUCAAAGAGAACAAGAUGCUGCCCCCCCUCCCUGUCGUUCCCCACUUUGCUCCUCGAUAUUUUUUCGCAGAUUGUGAACUAUUUUUGGUUAAUAAUUCCAGAUUCAAAUUGUCACUAUGACUAUAAGAUGUCAUAAUUAUCAGAAGUUACCUGUAUCUGAACUCUA
Molecule: long non-coding RNA, 1368 nt
Organism: Vitis vinifera (wine grape)
Lineage: Eukaryota; Viridiplantae; Streptophyta; Magnoliopsida; Vitales; Vitaceae
Exons: 6
Source: RefSeq, a predicted model, not a curated record